Equus caballus (horse) is the source of this 1883-nucleotide long non-coding RNA. Lineage: Eukaryota; Metazoa; Chordata; Mammalia; Perissodactyla; Equidae. The record is from Ensembl.
CAAGAGACUACGUGAGACAUGUAUUUAGAAUUUGGCUCCAGGAUAAUUUUUUUCCCAAGAAAUUGAUGAGUUUUUUCUUUCUGAAUAAAAGAAUGAGGGAAGCUCAGAGCCAAAACUGAUGUUUAAUCUCAGCAACUCUACUAGUGUUCAUGAUCUAAUGAAAGAUGCAUAGAAGAGACAACAUCCAAUUCGUUUGUUGUAUGUACCAUACGCCUACCCCUUCAGUGCCCAGUUAUUGAAUGGAUAGAUGGACAGAUGGAUGGAGGUGCCUUUGGGCAAAACUGGGAAUGUCUGACAAUUACAUUAAAUUGAGUCCUUUAAAAUAUCUUCCUUCUUUUAUCCUAUUCUUUAGUUUCAUUUAGCUUGUACUUUCAUUUAACUUGUACUUUGUAAUUACAAAGGGGCUAAUAAAAAAAUUGAAAUGCCUUGAAUUAACACUUUUAAAAUAUUCUCAAGCUGCAUUUCCUUCUUCAGUGUGUUUUAUAAUCUUUAUUCCAUCUGGUAAUUAUAACAAUACAAACCAUAGCUUGUGAGCCUAACUCACAUACAACUUAAUAGAACGUAAUAAGUUUUCCAAAGAAAAUUCAAAUCUAUUAUGAUUUGAAUCUCCACUUCUUUAAUAAGUAAAAUCCUGGUUUUCUUAGCAUAAUAGUGUCUCCUGCAUUAUUACUUUGUUCAUUUUUGAAAACUGAGAUUUGGGGGAAGGAAAUAUGAGAGUGGAUGGGGGAAGUCCCCUAAAUGCUAAUAUCACUUUUUAACAGCUAAAGACAGAUGAGGAUGGAGGAAGAAAGAGCAGCAAGAGUUACAGGAAUUUUGGCCAGAAAUCAAUGGAAAGCUCUGAGCCCCCUACUAAAACAAUGAUAUGCCAAUAGCCACAUGAGAAUUUGAUGGAUGGUUCUAGGGGUCAAAUAAAAGUGAAUUAACACGGGCAGUAAACCAUAUGGAGGAACCAGCAGGCAGGGAGAGAUGGCAAAAAAUUGACAUGGAAAACUUGAGCAGAAGCAAACCAGAAGGGGCAAAAAGGAAAACAAAGGAAGGGACAGUUGAGGCCCUUGGGAAUUGUCCACAAUGACUCCUAAAUGUUGAGCUAAAAUUGGCUCCCUGGAUGAAGCCAUCAUUAUUAGUUCAUUCUAAGACAUUAUGGAGAGGAAAUUAAGAUGUUCUAAAAUCAUUUAAAAUGUUUAUGUUUCUUUUUAUAUCCCUCUGUCCUUUAGGAUUUCUUUAAGGAACUUAGGGUAAAGUUUCAUAUAAAUAUGAAUCAGAGAAUUAAAACACAUCUUAGGGAACCACCUGGCCCAAGCCUCCUUUUACAUUAGGAAACUAAGGUCCAAGUUAACUUGGCCAAGGUUAACAUAACACAGUCUUUUCUACUUAUUUGCAGUUCUAUGCUAGACAGGUUGGGUCAGAUUCGCCUAUGGUGUCCCUCCCGUCCAGCACUCAUGGAGUCUAGCACACGAGAAGUGCUCCAGAACAUCAGCUGAGUGAGCGAGAAAUGGCAACUCACUGCUUCUAUUUGGGGUUAUUUCUCAUGGGUCUGUCUUCUGAAAGGCUGCCCUAUUCCCUCCAGCUUAUUAUUUCUAGCACGCCCAGUAACAAUGGCUAUAGAUAGGAGAAUGAAUGUCUGCAGUGUGACAACUGGGAAUUAAAGAAAAUGCGUCACGUUGGUCAGAAACAGAGAGCUCUCCAGAGCACCAAGACUCCAGGGAUCCGUGGCACUGCCUCCACACUCACAGAGGGAGCCCCCAGGGUACACAGUGCCCCUCAGGAGAGCUGCUCAUCCACAGAGCUGACCAGUGACUUAUGUAGCUUGAGGUUUGUGACUUAACUUCUUGAAGACUCCAUAUUUCCUUCUGUUAAGUGGAAGUCCAUUUUUCCAAGACCUA